RNAcentral lists this ribosomal RNA (468 nucleotides) under uncultured bacterium. Its description in RNAcentral is "partial 16S ribosomal RNA". It matches the Rfam family "Bacterial small subunit ribosomal RNA", at positions 28 to 507 of the family's 1533-position model. The record is from RNAcentral.
GACGAACGCUGGCGGCGUGCUUAACACAUGCAAGUCGAACGGAAAGGCCCUGCUUUUGUGGGGUGCUCGAGUGGCGAACGGGUGAGUAACACGUGAGUAACCUGCCCUUGACUUUGGGAUAACUUCGGGAAACUGGGGCUAAUACCGGAUAGGAGCUCCUGCUGCAUGGUGGGGGUUGGAAAUUUUCGGCGGUUGGGGAUGGACUCGCGGCUUAUCAGCUUGUUGGUGGGGUAGUGGCUUACCAAGGCUUUGACGGGUAGCCGGCCUGAGAGGGUGACCGGCCACAUUGGGACUGAGAUACGGCCCAGACUCCUACGGGAGGCAGCAGUGGGGAAUAUUGCACAAUGGGCGGAAGCCUGAUGCAGCAACGCCGCGUGCGGGAUGACGGCCUUCGGGUUGUAAACCGCUUUCGCCUGUGACGAAGCGUGAGUGACGGUAAUGGGUAAAGAAGCACCGGCUAACUACGUG